AUGGGUACACCCGGUGAUCAUGAUGCAUUAAACGCUAGGCGCUGCACCAGUAGCAAAGCCUCAAGACCCCUCGCGCCCGCCGUCGCCCAAUCCCUGGUUUUUAUCCUGAUCAUGUCGAGUAGGCUAGUUAGGAUGAGUCGGGUGUCUUCGAAGAUGAUCGUGUUGCGAUGCUUCCAUAUGCAUCAUGCCACUAGCAUGAUGCAAACAUGCCCUUCCAAGCAGAGGUCUGGGCGGAGAGGCAUGUUUCCUACCACCAGCUCACCAGUCCACAAAGUCACCCCCAUGACGGGUGGACGAGCCAUCAACCGUAUCCAAAAGAGCACCAAAUGCCACAUUGUGCAUGAAAAGAAGCAGUCGUGA
Molecule: ribosomal RNA, 360 nt
Filed under: Triticum aestivum (bread wheat)
Lineage: Eukaryota; Viridiplantae; Streptophyta; Magnoliopsida; Poales; Poaceae
Description: partial small subunit ribosomal RNA
Source: RNAcentral